GGGCAGUUAGCUCAGUGGUAGAGCACUACAUUGACAUUGUAGGGGUCACAAGUUCGAACCUUGUACCGCCCACCA
Molecule: transfer RNA, 75 nt
Filed under: Alphaproteobacteria bacterium
Lineage: Bacteria; Pseudomonadati; Pseudomonadota; Alphaproteobacteria
Also listed under: 1 other name
Description: tRNA-Val
Rfam family: tRNA
About the family: Transfer RNA (tRNA) molecules are approximately 80 nucleotides in length. Their secondary structure includes four short double-helical elements and three loops (D, anti-codon, and T loops). Further hydrogen bonds mediate the characteristic L-shaped molecular structure. tRNAs have two regions of fundamental functional importance: the anti-codon, which is responsible for specific mRNA codon recognition, and the 3' end, to which the tRNAs corresponding amino acid is attached (by aminoacyl-tRNA synthetases). tRNAs cope with the degeneracy of the genetic code in two manners: having more than one tRNA (with a specific anti-codon) for a particular amino acid; and 'wobble' base-pairing, i.e. permitting non-standard base-pairing at the 3rd anti-codon position.
Source: RNAcentral